Unclassified non-coding RNA from Cavia aperea (Brazilian guinea pig), 97 nucleotides. It matches the Rfam family "Y RNA". Rfam says of the family: Y RNAs are components of the Ro ribonucleoprotein particle (Ro RNP), in association with Ro60 and La proteins. The Y RNAs and Ro60 and La proteins are well conserved, but the function of the Ro RNP is not known. In humans the RNA component can be one of four small RNAs -- hY1, hY3, hY4 and hY5. The record is from Ensembl. NCBI's taxonomy places the organism in Eukaryota, Metazoa, Chordata, Mammalia, Rodentia, Caviidae.
GGCUGGUCCGAUGAUAGUGGGUUAUCAGAACUUAUUAACAUUAGUGUCACUAAAGUUGGUAUACACCCCCCCCACUGCUAAAUUUGACUGGCUUUAA